ACACAUGCAAGUCGAGCGGCAGCGCGGGGGCAACCCUGGCGGCGAGCGGCGAACGGGUGAGUAAUGCAUCGGAACGUGUCCUCUUGUGGGGGAUAACCAGUCGAAAGACUGGCUAAUACCGCAUGAGAUCGAGAGAUGAAAGCAGGGGACCGCAAGGCCUUGCGCGAGAGGAGCGGCCGAUGCCGGAUUAGCUAGUUGGUGGGGUAAUGGCCUACCAAGGCGACGAUCCGUAGCUGGUCUGAGAGGACGACCAGCCACACUGGGACUGAGACACGGCCCAGACUCCUACGGGAGGCAGCAGUGGGGAAUUUUGGACAAUGGGGGCAACCCUGAUCCAGCCAUGCCGCGUGUGUGAAGAAGGCCUUCGGGUUGUAAAGCACUUUCGGCCGGAACGAAAUCGCGCGGGUGAAUAUCCCGUGUGGAUGACGGUACCGGAAGAAGAAGCACCGGCUAACUACGUGCCAGCAGCCGCGGUAAUACGUAGGGUGCGAGCGUUAAUCGGAAUUACUGGGCGUAAAGUGUGCGCAGGUGGCCGCGCAAGUCGAGUGUGAAAUCCCCGAGCUUAACUUGGGAAUUGCGCUCGAAACUACGUGGCUCGAGUGUGGCAGAGGAAGGUGGAAUUCCACGUGUAGCGGUGAAAUGCGUAGAGAUGUGGAGGAACACCGAUGGCGAAGGCAGCCUUCUGGGCCAACACUGACGCUCAUGCACGAAAGCGUGGGGAGCAAACAGGA
Molecule: ribosomal RNA, 731 nt
Filed under: uncultured bacterium
Lineage: Bacteria
Description: bacterial SSU rRNA
Rfam family: Bacterial small subunit ribosomal RNA
Source: RNAcentral